UUACCUACGGGAGGCAGCAGUGAGGAAUAUUGGUCAAUGGACGAAAGUCUGAACCAGCCAUGCCGCGUGCAGGAAGACGGCUCUAUGAGUUGUAAACUGCUUUUGUACAAGGGUAAACCUGAAUACGUGUAUUCAGCUGAAAGUACUGUACGAAUAAGGAUCGGCUAACUCCGUGCCAGCAGCCGCGGUAAUACGGAGGAUGCGAGCGUUAUCCGGAUUUAUUGGGUUUAAAGGGUGCGUAGGCGGACUGUUAAGUCAGCGGUAAAAGCCCGGGGCUCAACCCCGGCGAGCCGUUGAAACUGGCU
Molecule: ribosomal RNA, 305 nt
Filed under: uncultured bacterium
Lineage: Bacteria
Description: bacterial SSU rRNA
Rfam family: Bacterial small subunit ribosomal RNA
Source: RNAcentral